GCGUUUGCUUUGCAGCACAUAUGCUAAAGGUGGACCAACACAGAGAAAAUUAGCAUGACCCCUGCAUAAGCAUGACGCACUAAUCUGUGAAGCAGUCCAUAUUACA
Small nuclear RNA from Rhinopithecus roxellana (golden snub-nosed monkey), 106 nucleotides. The record is from Ensembl. NCBI's taxonomy places the organism in Eukaryota, Metazoa, Chordata, Mammalia, Primates, Cercopithecidae.